RNAcentral lists this ribosomal RNA (950 nucleotides) under uncultured Bacillota bacterium. Its description in RNAcentral is "bacterial SSU rRNA". It matches the Rfam family "Bacterial small subunit ribosomal RNA", at positions 1 to 917 of the family's 1533-position model. The record is from RNAcentral. Lineage: Bacteria; Bacillati; Bacillota.
UGGAUCCAGACUUUGAUCCUGGCUCAGGAUGAACGCUGGCGGCGUGCCUAAUACAUGCAAGUCGAACGAAACUUCUUUAUCACCGAGUGCUUGCACUCACCGAUAAAGAGUUGAGUGGCGAACGGGUGAGUAACACGUGGGCAACCUGCCCAAAAGAGGGGGAUAACACUUGGAAACAGGUGCUAAUACCGCAUAACCAUAGUUACCGCAUGGCAACUAUGUAAAAGGUGGCUAUGCUACCGCUUUUGGAUGGGCCCGCGGCGCAUUAGCUAGUUGGUGGGGUAAAGGCUUACCAAGGCAAUGAUGCGUAGCCGAACUGAGAGGUUGAUCGGCCACAUUGGGACUGAGACACGGCCCAAACUCCUACGGGAGGCAGCAGUAGGGAAUCUUCCACAAUGGGCGAAAGCCUGAUGGAGCAACGCCGCGUGGGUGAAGAAGGUCUUCGGAUCGUAAAACCCUGUUGUUAGAGAAGAAAGUGCGUGAGAGUAACUGUUCACAUUUCGACGGUAUCUAACCAGAAAGCCACGGCUAACUACGUGCCAGCAGCCGCGGUAAUACGUAGGUGGCAAGCGUUAUCCGGAUUUAUUGGGCGUAAAGGGAACGCAGGCGGUCUUUUAAGUCUGAUGUGAAAGCCUUCGGCUUAACCGGAGUAGUGCAUUGGAAACUGGGAGACUUGAGUGCAGAAGAGGAGAGUGGAACUCCAUGUGUAGCGGUGAAAUGCGUAGAUAUAUGGAAGAACACCAGUGGUGAAAGCGGCUCUCUGGUCUGUAACUGACGCUGAGGUUCGAAAGCGUGGGUAGCAAACAGGAUUAGAUACCCUGGUAGUCCACGCCGUAAACGAUGAAUGCUAAGUGUUGGAGGGUUUCCGCCCUUCAGUGCUGCAGCUAACGCAAUAAGCAUUCCGCCUGGGGAGUACGACCGCAAGGUUGCAACUCAAAUGAAUUGACGGA